GUGAGGUAACGGCUCACCAAGGCUACGACGGGUAGCUGGUCUGAGAGGACGAUCAGCCACACUGGGACUGAGACACGGCCCAGACUCCUACGGGAGGCAGCAGCAGGGAAUUUUGCACAAUGGGCGCAAGCCUGAUGCAGCGACGCCGCGUGGGGGAUGAAUGCCUUCGGGUUGUAAACCCCUUUCAGGAGGGACGAAGCGAAAGUGACGGUACCUCCAGAAGAAGCCCCGGCCAACUACGUGCCAGCAGCCGCGGUAAUACGUAGGGGGCGAGCGUUGUCCGGAUUUAUUGGGCGUAAAGAGCUCGUAGGCGGCUCAACAAGUCGGCCGUUAAAGCCUGAGGCUCAACCUCAGGACGCCGGUCGAAACUGUUGUGGCUAGGGUCCGGUAGAGGAGAGUGGAAUUCCCGGUGUAGCGGUGAAAUGCGCAGAUAUCGGGAGGAACACCAGUAGCGAAGGCGGCUCUCUGGGCCGGUACCGACGCUGAGGAGCGAAAGCUAGGGGAGCAAACAGGAUUAGAUACCCUGGUAGUCCUAGCCGUAAACGUUGGGAACUAGGUGUGGCGGAUUCAUUGACAUCUGCCGUGCCGAAGCUAACGCAUUAAGUU
RNAcentral lists this ribosomal RNA (606 nucleotides) under uncultured Actinomycetes bacterium. Its description in RNAcentral is "bacterial SSU rRNA". It matches the Rfam family "Bacterial small subunit ribosomal RNA", at positions 252 to 866 of the family's 1533-position model. Lineage: Bacteria; Bacillati; Actinomycetota; Actinomycetes. The record is from RNAcentral.